UCUCUGUCUCUAUCUUUCUCCUGUCUCUGAUGUAAACUGCUUUUCAAAUGGAACAAAGUUAAUCCUUAUCGGUGAGUUUGAGUGGGUUUUUCUGAUUCAAAUAUGAGCAUCGGACACAACUUUGUCUCAGUCUCCCCGUCUAGUUAUCUCUCCAUCAGCCUCUGGCUGUCUGUUUGUAUGUUACUCUCAGACUCAUUCUCUCAGCUCCUGUGUCUCUCGCUCUAUCCACUCUUUCUCUGCCGUGCCUUGUCUCAGUCUCUGUCUGUCUCCCUGAUGUUUUUCUCUCUCUCUAUCUCUCUCUAUGGUUAAGGUUUUAAUACGCCCACCUGUCUCUGUGCUCCUCUGGUGUAAACUACUUUGCAGAUGGAACAAAGUUAAUUGUUCUCGGGAAAAAUGACAAAGUAAACCCACCCAACGUCUUCCUGUACGAUGCAUCCCACGACGAGCUGAGGACAGAGAAACGGGGAACAUUUGUGUGUCUUGUCUCCGAUUUUUACCCGGACGCAGUUCAGAUAGAGUGGGAAAUUAAUGAUGCGCUGGUUAAGAAUGAGGACAGCAGACCAAUUCACACCGAUUUAAAAUCCCUCAAGUCAAAAUCCAGCUCAACGUAUUCUGUGAGCAGUCGCCUCCGUCUCUCUGUAAACCACUGGGCUGAUGCCAAACUUAUAACCUGCCGCGUCACCCACUUUGGGGAAGGAACUACUAUAACGAAACACGAGGCAAAGGUGAAACCAAAAGGAGGGAUCUGUUACUCUCUGACAAAAGAUGAAAUGCAGGAGAGAAUGGUGACUGGAAAAUUGACCUAUCUCCUCCUAGUCUGUAAAAGUGUUCUCUAUGGCGUUAUGAUAUCCUUCAUUGCCUGGAAAACCAAGUCUCUUUCCAGGAAGCAAUUUGACUGAUUCCGAAUCGGUGAAGAUAUUCCACAAGAGACAGAGAGAAUAUCAUCAAAAAUAAACCACUUUUAGUUUAAAUAUUUCUUGGCCGGGGAUGGGUUAGAGCAGAGAGCUCUCGAGAGGGGGAGCGAGCAGUACUACGAUGGGGGAGAUAGAGAGAGAGAGAUAGCACUUGGGGUUAGAAUAGAGAGCUUCAGUUUGGGGGGAAUGAGCACCAUUAAGUGCUCAAGCUGGAGGGAGAUGGUUGGGGUUAGAGUAGAGAACUCCAGUGUGGUGACAUGUGGGUGUGGUAUGACCUUUACUGCACAUAACAAAUCUUUCGCUAUUGUAACGUACAAUUUACCGACUUGCACCGAGUAAGUGCUUCCAUGUAGCGACGUAGUUCCUUCGUUUAUUAAAUUCUGAUUUUUAUUCGCA
This is a long non-coding RNA of Callorhinchus milii (elephant shark), 1310 nucleotides long. RefSeq lists it as uncharacterized. The transcript has 6 exons. The record is from RefSeq and is a predicted model, not a curated record. Lineage: Eukaryota; Metazoa; Chordata; Chondrichthyes; Chimaeriformes; Callorhinchidae.